RNAcentral lists this non-coding RNA (99 nucleotides) under Bacilli bacterium VT-13-104. Its description in RNAcentral is "TPP riboswitch aptamer (THI element)". It matches the Rfam family "TPP riboswitch aptamer (THI element)". From Rfam's summary of the family: Vitamin B(1) in its active form thiamin pyrophosphate (TPP) is an essential coenzyme that is synthesised by coupling of pyrimidine and thiazole moieties in bacteria. The previously detected thiamin-regulatory element, thi box was extended, resulting in a new, highly conserved RNA secondary structure, the THI element, which is widely distributed in eubacteria and also occurs in some archaea. Analysis of operon structures identified a large number of new candidate thiamin-regulated genes, mostly transporters, in various prokaryotic organisms. Lineage: Bacteria; Bacillati; Bacillota; Bacilli. The record is from Rfam by way of RNAcentral. RNAcentral also lists the same sequence under 1 other name.
CGUGACCACAAGGGGAGCGAAAGCUGAGAGGGAACAAAUUGUUCUUACCCUUCGAACCUGUUAGUUAAUUCUAGCGUAGGGAUGUGGUGAAUAGUUUAC